GUUUUGACAAAGUGGCAUUGGAGUAUCUCGAGUUCAAGCCCCAAAUGGAGUGAAAUGAAAAAGAAAAAUGAAGAAGAUAGAACAAAAGUUCAUACGUUUCUAUGUAUUCAAUUAAUCCAAAUAUUGAAAGAUGAAACCUAUUUAUGAUGCUAAGAGGCAUGUUUAUCCAUUAAAUAUGCGAAUUAUGCAGAGAACUAAAUAUGCAUUUACUUCUAUUCUGUUUAGUUCACCAUCUAUUCUUAUUACUGCACAAAUAUAAUCAUUCCCUAAAUUAAUUGAAUAUUCUUUCUCUGGUGAAAAU
Molecule: unclassified non-coding RNA, 301 nt
Filed under: Hevea brasiliensis (rubber tree)
Lineage: Eukaryota; Viridiplantae; Streptophyta; Magnoliopsida; Malpighiales; Euphorbiaceae
Source: RNAcentral